Molecule: ribosomal RNA, 120 nt
Filed under: Fusarium venenatum
Lineage: Eukaryota; Fungi; Ascomycota; Sordariomycetes; Hypocreales; Nectriaceae
Source: RNAcentral
ACAUACGACCAUACCUACCAGAAAAUACGGGAUCCCGUCAGCUCUCCCAUAGUCAAGCUGGUAAGGGGCGGAUUAGUAGUUGGGUCGGUGACGACCAGCGAAUCCCCGCUGUUGUAUGUU